This 484-nucleotide ribosomal RNA is filed under the name uncultured bacterium. RNAcentral's name for it is "partial 16S ribosomal RNA". It matches the Rfam family "Bacterial small subunit ribosomal RNA", at positions 28 to 523 of the family's 1533-position model. The record is from RNAcentral.
GACGAACGCUGGCGGCGUGCUUAACACAUGCAAGUCGAACGAUGAAGCCGGAGCUUGCUCUGGUGAAUUAGUGGCGAACGGGUGAGUAACACGUGAGUAACCUGCCCUUGACUCUGGGAUAACUGCGGGAAACUGUAGCUAAUACCGGAUACGACCCUCGGAGGCAUCUCCUGGGGGUGGAAAGAAUUUCGGUCAAGGAUGGACUCGCGGCCUAUCAGCUAGUUGGUGAGGUAAAGGCUCACCAAGGCGACGACGGGUAGCCGGCCUGGGAGGGUGACCUGCCACACUGGGACUGAGACACGGCCCAGACUCCUACGGGAGGCAGCAGUGGGGAAUAUUGCACAAUGGGCGCAAGCCUGAUGCAGUAACGCCGCGUGAGGGAUGACGGCCUUCGGGUUGUAAACCUCUUUUAGCAGGGAAGAAGCGAAAGUGACGGUACCUGCAGAAAAAGCACCGGCUAACUACGUGCCAGCAGCCGCCGUAA